Ribosomal RNA from Scleropages formosus (Asian bonytongue), 110 nucleotides. It matches the Rfam family "Eukaryotic large subunit ribosomal RNA", at positions 2875 to 2984 of the family's 3401-position model. NCBI's taxonomy places the organism in Eukaryota, Metazoa, Chordata, Actinopteri, Osteoglossiformes, Osteoglossidae. The record is from Rfam.
CCUUCGAUGUUGGCUCUUCCUAUCAUUGUGAAGCAGAAUUCACAGAGUGUUGGAUUGUUCACCCACUAAUAGGGAACUUGAGUUGGGUUUAGACCAUCGUGAGACAGGUU